RNAcentral lists this ribosomal RNA (216 nucleotides) under Glomeromycotina sp. RNAcentral's name for it is "partial small subunit ribosomal RNA". The stretch from base 44 to 216 matches the Rfam family "Eukaryotic small subunit ribosomal RNA", at positions 690 to 864 of the family's 1831-position model. Lineage: Eukaryota; Fungi; Glomeromycota. The record is from RNAcentral.
GGGUCAGUAGGUUGGUCGUGCCACCGGUACGUACUGGUCUCACUGAUUCCUCCUUCCUGAAGAACCGUAAUGCCAUUAAUUUGGUGUCGCGGGGAAACAGGACUGUUACUUUGAAAAAAUUAGAGUGUUUAACGCAAGCUAACGCUUGAAUACAUUAGCAUGGAAUAAUGAAAUAGGACGAUCGAUCCUAUUUUGUUGGUUUCUAGGAUUGACGUA